UUUGGGUGUGGAAAGCUUCAAGAGGUAGAGAAGAUUGUCUACUAAGAAGACUGAUUUAGGUGAAUCUUUUCCUUCCUCUUAUCCUUUCUCUUCUUCUUCCCUCUUUGUUGUUGUUGGUUGUAGUGAGUGAGGUUGAGGCUUAGUUAAUGGUCUUUUAGCAAUCAUUAGACUUAGUGUCUGUUUGGAUAUAUUUCUUGUUUUUUGCUUUUGAAAUUAUAAACUUCUACAUAACAAUAAAACAUCUUGUACCAGAAAGAAAAAAUGGUUUUCCUUAUAUCUUUAAAAAUCACUUUAGAAAUUUAAAAUUUGGUAAAGUAAAAUUCUUUUGAUACCUCCAUUUUUAUUAAACAAUAUUUAAAAUUAUUACUUUUUCAAUAUAAGUCUGAUGUAGAACAACCCUUGGGUGGUUGCCUUCACUCAAAUAGGUGGGCUAGGGUUUCUAUUUUUUUAGGGUUUAAGGAGAGAAAUAAGGGAUAAAGUUUAUGGUAUAGAAAAUUAAAAUUAAAAUAAAUAAAUAAAUAAAGAAGAUAUGACGAAGAGAGAGAAACCUUAGAGUCUUACUAAGGUUUUAUAGGAGUUUAUUCAGUGUUUGCUUUCACAACACAUUGUAAGGACAUUGAUACACUUGGCAUUCAACUCAUCACCUUGCUUUCAUAGCACAUUAUUAGGAUAUUGAUACUCUUGGCAUUCAACUCAUCACCUUCAUCAAGAAGUUAGCAAGGGAGCACAUCAACAAACAUGAUCUUGUCGACCUAUUGCCUUCAUGGAAGGAGUUAGGAAAAGUGCAAAUUAAUUCACCUAUAGGUGCUUGAAAUUGCUUGUAAGAUGCUAUAUAAACAUACCCUAGAGCACAUAUCAUAGGACUACAUACAAUUUUUAUAUACAUCUCUUGUUAAACUUUGACCACAUGAAUGAAUUCAAAAUUUUGUCUUAGAUCUUUCAUGUAAUCAAAGCUUUGCUAAUCCCUUACGGGUUUAUUUGAUCCUUCUGACCUCUUUAUCCUCUGUUAUAGCUCAGUCUGCAAUCCCCUCCACAUUUACCAUUGAAAUUGAAUCAAAGAAGUCACAUGCUUGGCAAGCAUAACUCCUUCCUUUGCCUCUUGGCUACGACUUUCUUGGGUAUGUUGACAGUUUGCAUCCCCCAUCUAAGUUUCACAUGACCACCAAAUAUCCAACAGUUGUUUCAAAUACUGAGUUUCCCAUCUGGGAAUGACAGUCCAUCUUUUUCUCAGUUGAUUCCUCUCCAAGGAUGUUCUUUGCCAUGCAGUUAGUACUUCCACUUGUCUUUCCCAAGCACUGGCAGCUUCUUUGGUACCAGGGUCCUUCAUCUAAAGCAUCACCUUUUUAUCAACUCAAAAAAGGGGCACAAACUGUAGCUGAUUAUUUACAAUCUGUCUGCUUUAUUGCUGAUUCUCUAGCAGCUGCUAAAAGGUUAUCAAUGAUAGGGAUUUGGAGCCUAUAGUCCUUCACAGCCUUGGAACUGUUGUCAGGAUUUUGUUACCUCUAUUUGCAUUCGAUUUUUACUGGUUUCCUUGCUGAUUUAUGUUUCCUCUCCUUAGCCUAGAAGCACAGCUUGCCGACAUUUUGGAACAACCUCAGUUUCAAAUUGAAAUAGCUAAGCCCACUUCCAUCAAGUCCUUGUCUCACUAAUGCACCUAUUGCUAACAAAGCAAAAAACCACCAUCAUCAGUUCAAUGCUUCAUGGUGAUUCACUUUCCUUCUCUAAUCAAUCUCACCCUUCCUACAAGAUUCAAUUGCAAGAUAGGCCUACAAGCCUUCAUUGUUCCGAACCACAUAAUUCUGCAUGCCUAAGUGAUUGUUCUUCAACUCCUUUUAUUGUUUAUGGCUUCUAGACUAUGGUUCUAACAUAUACUAGAAGAGCUGUAACUCCCUUUGAAUUUGAAUGCUUGAUGAACAAUAUAUGAUCGCCCAGACUUUGUCUAUAUCCCAUGUUCUUUAUCACUUAGGCAAACCUUCCAAACCAUGUCCUUGGAGACUUCUUCAGCCUAUAUAGAGCAUGGUUCAAAAUCGCGGUAUCGGUCAUUGACUCGGAGGGUUCUGAGGCACAUCGGUAUCGGCGUCUCGGUUCGGUAUUGGGUGAUACACAAAAUAAGAUACUUAACAAGUUCAAAAAAUUAUAAAAAUUAUUUUUAAUAUAAUUAAAUGAAUUAAGAAACUAAUAAACUUAAUAAUAAACUAUUAACAUAAUAAUAAAUGAAAUAAUUUCUUAAACUAUUAACAAUAAAUUAACAUAUAAAAUAAUACACCUUAUAUAAUACCAUUACCAUGUAAAAUAAUAUAUUACCUAAAUUAAAGUCAUUCAUACCAUAUUUAAUAUAUAAAAUACUAAUUUUCAAAUUUCCAAUUCCAAAUGUCAUUGGCAUACAAGGUAAAAUGAUGCAAAUACAUGAACAUUUGAAAUAAUAAAUCAUUUUUAUAUAAAACACCAUUUUCUUUAAUUCUCAAUCCCAAACAUCACUUAUUCACACCACGAGGUACCCGGUUUGCAGAGGCAAAAGCCUCUUUGUAGUACACAGCCAAACAACACUAUGGAGAUCGAACAAGGGGAGGCAACACCAACAUGCAAAGAUCAUCAUCAAUGAAAGAAUGUGAUGUUUCUCACUGAUCGGUCACCACAACUACAUCACGGACACAAAGCUUUCUUUCUUCUUCUUCUUAUCCUUCAUGGUUAUGGGUCUUGAAAAAAAAAAUAUUUUUAAGAGAAUCUCUCAUAUUUAUUAGAGAUUUCUCAGUUUUGGUUGCCUUUUGUUGUGAUUUGAAAGGGAAAAAAAAUUUGGUUUAAUAUAAGAAUAUUUAGAUUUUAAACAAUUGAACUUGUGAUUUCGACCGAGUCCACUCAGAAUCUCAACCGAGGUGACCAAGUUUAACGGGUUCUUAGUUGGGUCUAUGUUGAAGAUGGUACCGGGUAUCGGACUCGGCACGAAAAGGUUCGAGGUGGAUACAACUCGACCGAGUCGUACUGGACUCGGCCGAUAUUUUAAACCAUGGUAUAGAGCUUUUCUCAGUUUACGCAUGUUGUUAGUGGAUAGGUUACUUCCAAACUCAGGAGAGACUUCCAUAUAAAUCUCUUCUUCUAGGUCUCCAUGUAGAAACACAUUGUCAACAUCGAACUGCAACAAAUCCCAAUUAUAAUUAGCUACCAAUGAUAACAGAAUUCUAAUUGUGUUCAUCUUGACAACUGGGGCAAAUGUCUCUAGAUAAUCCACGACAUAUGUCUAAGUAUACCCUUUAACCAUCAAUCUUGCCUUGUACCUCUCUAAUGACCCAUGUGCUCUAUACUUAAUAGUGCAAAUAACUUCCAUCCCACCGGCUUUUUUCUUGCAAGUAAAUCCACCAACUCCCAAGUUUUAUUCUUUUCCAAGGCCUUUAUUUCUACAUUCAUUGCUUGUUUCCAAUUUUCAUUAGACAAAGCCUCGAAUAAAGUGGUAAGAAUGUAAAUAUUUUUCAAACUCAUAAGAAAACUCUUAUGGGACAAUGAAAACUUUUCAAAUGAUACAACAUAAGAGAGUGGAUACAAAGGACAUUUAGUGCAUUCCUUAGUUUCCUUCCUAAUGGCAAGAGAGAGGUUCUGAUCUAUGUUUUUUUAAGAUUGAAGUUCUAACUCAAUUUGUAAAGGAGGAUUAAAAACCAAUGCCUCCUUUCUAGAAUCUGAUUGAGAUCCUUAGACUUGUAUAAUUCUAGGGACUACAACUUUCUUCCUUGAGAACACUUAGUCAUUUGAUCCUCAGAAGCAAUCAUGGGCUCACUAGUUUUUUCAAUAGUGUGUUUAGGGAAUACAAAUGACUUAGGUUUAGAAGAGGAGGGUAUGGAUACUGGUGUAGACACUUUAGGAAGGUCAAUAAGAAAGGAAUCUUGAUCCUUAUAUUCCUUGAUGAAAUUCUCCCCUUGAAGAUAAGGUGCAAUGAAAUUUUUGCUAAAAGUAACAUCUGCUAAGACAAAAAAAAAUUUGGACAGAGGAUGGUAACACUUAUAUCCCUUUUAAGUUGACGAAUAUUCCACAAAAAUAUAUUUAAUUGCCAUUGGAUUCAACUUUCCUUUGUUUUGACUAUGAACAUGAGUAAAGGACACACACCUAAAUAUCUUAGGAAUAAGAUAACUUGUGGUUCUUAGAUUAGGAUAAAACUUUAAGAGCAUUUCCAUAGGACUUUUGAAAUAUAAGACUCUGGAAGGUAAUUGGUUUCUAAGAUGUGUGGCGGUUAAGACGACUUCCCCCUCAUAAGAUUUAGGCACAUUUUUUUUAAACAAGAAUGCUCGGGUUGUAUCAAGUAGGUGGUCAUUUUUCCUCUCAGCAACUCCAUUUUGUUGUGGGGUGUUUACACAUGGUAACCCAUGAAUUAUCCCUUCUUGUUGAAAAUAUGGAGUUAGGACUUGAUUGAAAUAAUCCCUAGCAUUGUCAAAAUGGAAACUCUUGAUUUUGACACCAAACUAGUUUUUUACCAUGUUAUGGAAAUUUGGGAGAACUAAACUCACAUCAAAUUUAUGCUUAAGUAAGAAGAUCCAAGAGACCCUAGUACAAUCAUCGAUAAAAGACACGAACCAACAUGUUUUAGAUAUAUUAGGAACAAUAGAAGGACCGCAAAUAUCAAUAUGAAUUAGAUGAAAAAGAUAUGAAUUUCUUUUAUUGUUGGUUAGAAAGGUUAUACACUUGUGUUUGGGUAGUUCACAUACAUCACAAUAAAAGCUCACAACAUCUAAUCUCCUAAAUAGAUAAGGAACAAGAUCUUAAGAGUUCUAAAUGACGAAUGUCUAAGUUUAUGAUGAUGAAGCCAUAUUUUUUCUUUAUUGGAAAGAUGGUGCUCAAAUAGAAAUGAUAAGGAUAAUUAGCUUGGUAUCUCAAGGUAGUAUAGCUCGUCCUAUUCCUUAGCAAGUCCAAUCGUCUUCCUCAAAUCCUAGUCCUAAAAUACGUAGUGAGUAGGUAAAAAAUCACAUUGAAACACAAAUCUUGUGUAAGCUUUUGUAUAGACAAGAUUAGUGGACAACUUUGGAACAUGAAACACACUUCUAAGUGUGAGCAUAGGACUAAUUUGAACAUCUCCUAUGCCUGCAAUGGUGGUUAAUGAACUAUCAAUUGUGGCUUUUUUUCUACCACAUGGAUAGGGAUUAUAUUUGUUAAAUUUGUGUAAUGAAUGAGUCAUGUGAUUUGUGGCACCUAAAUCUAUAAUCCAAGAAUUCGUAAAGGUUUCAUCCAAAACUUUUAAUUCAAUGGAAAUAGGAAACUUACUUAAAUGUGCCAAAGAGCAGGUACCUAAAGGUUUCUCAAGAGUUCCUAGCAAAGUUAUCAGUUUUUCAAUCUCAUCUUGGUUGAAUCCACCUUGUUCCAGGGAUCUCUCUUCAACUGGUUGUACAGAGGACAAGUGUGCUUGCUCAUUAUCCCUCUAAUGCCCUCCUUUGUAGCCUCACUUUCUGCUAAAUGUAGAUGGUUGUCCAUAGAGUUUCCAACACUACUCCCGUGUAUAUCUUGCCUUCUGGUAGUAAGUACACCAUAAGUUGUCCCUGUUAUCACUAUUUGAGUCCCUUGACUAAUCAACCCUCUUAUGGUCAAGAUUGCUUGUCUUUUAAUCAUUUUCCUUGUUAGCUACCAUAAUGAGCCUUCAAAAAUUUGAGGUUCAAGCGUGACACCUCUCAUACUUUCUUUUACUCGGAUAAUAGAGAUAGUAUCAUUCAAAGUCGGGAGCUUUUUGCUAAGUAUUUGAAUUUUAACUUAGUCAAACUCAAGAUUAAGACCAACUGAAAAAAAAAAAAAAAAAUCACAAACUCAAUCCUUCUCAAUAUAAUUCUUUUAAGAUUAUUACAUCCUCAGGACAUUUUGUUUCAAAUGCAUCAAUAAUGAUCGAGUUCUUGCUAAAGAUUUUUCAACAUAUUGGUGGACUUCGUGAUUGUCUUGUUUCCUUGUUUUAUUGCUCCGAUCUUGACUUUUAUUUUGUAUGCUAGGGUUACAUCAAGUGCCUUCAAAUAUGUCUAGUGAAUAGCAUCCCUCAUGUCUUUAGCGAUGGUCAAGAACAUACACAUAUCAUUGAUUUCAAGUCUUAUCGAGUUCCACGACCAUGCCAUAAUCAUUAAGUCUUGCUCGUCCUAGGAAUAAAACCGAGGGUCUUCUCUCUUCGGUCUAAUUCCAAAGAGAUGACUUAAUUUUCUUUUUCCUUUCAAAAAGGCACGAAUAAGUUAUGACCAUUUUAAAUGAUUCUUCUCAUUAAGUCUUGAAUGUCGCUUGAACAUUGUACAUUUCUCCCGCGGUGUGACUUAUCAAUUCCUCAGAUUGAGCAAUGAUAGUAGCAGGGGUUUCUAAUACCUUUGACAUUUUUUUAAAAGAACUAUGUUUAAAUCUUAAGAAAACACAAAGAAGUCUGAGUGAGGAAGGGGACAGUUCCGGCAUUAAAGGUACAGGAGAUGCAGGGAAAGAAAAGGGUCUAACUGAGGGAUUUAAGGUGGUGGCGCCACUGGAGGUCUUAACUAAGGGAAAUAAGAAGGUUUGACUAAGGGAUCUGAGGUGGCAGCAUCAAAGGACCUAAGUUCACGAUCUAUUAUUGCAAGGAUGGUGCGAGGAGGAAGGUAGUCACGAGGAAUACGUUCGCGAUGAGUUCACGACCUAUGGUUUACAAUGACAGCAUGAAGACAAUGGCGUGAGGCGGAGAUGAAGGUGGCAAUGGAGGUCAAAUGAAAAGGCCGGAAGAAACUCUUAAAGG
RNAcentral lists this long non-coding RNA (6703 nucleotides) under Vitis vinifera (wine grape). RNAcentral's name for it is "long non-coding RNA (VVIN_LNC007127)". The record is from RNAcentral. Lineage: Eukaryota; Viridiplantae; Streptophyta; Magnoliopsida; Vitales; Vitaceae.